Molecule: long non-coding RNA, 1755 nt
Filed under: Homo sapiens (human)
Lineage: Eukaryota; Metazoa; Chordata; Mammalia; Primates; Hominidae
Description: non-protein coding lnc-RFNG-1:6
Source: RNAcentral
GGAGCCUCCUGCACCUGCUCUCCAGCUUCUCACCCAGCCAGGACGUCUACCUGGGGCGGCCCAGCCUGGACCACCCCAUUGAGGCCACCGAGAGGGUCCAGGGUGGCAGAACUGUGAGUGUCGGAGCAGACGCCAUCGGAGCAGACGCCUUCCUUGACACCAGCCCGGGAGGCACAGCAGAGGGCGUGGAAAGCUGGCUUGAGAAGGGCAUAGGGUUGGGGGCCCAAGCUGAUCCACCCAGGUGGUUUGCAUGUGGUGUUUCAGGAGCAGGCCAGGAGGCCCUCACCGUACUGGGCAGAGAGGGGGUGUCUGGGCCAGGUGGGGAGGGUCUGGAGGCUACGGGUCAAUGGCCUGCAGAAGCCCCCGGCUCUUUUUGCUCCAAGAAGCUUCUGUUACCUGGGUGGGAUCUCCUAAGGGGCAGCUUAAGAAAGAUGCCUGGGGAGUCCCAUGAAGAGUCAGGGGUGAGAAGCCCUGUCCUGGGCAGCUCUGACCACCACCCCAUCUUCAGGUGACCACGGUCAAGUUCUGGUUUGCUACUGGUGGGGCCGGGUUCUGCCUCAGCAGAGGCCUUGCCCUCAAGAUGAGCCCAUGGGCCAGCCUGGGCAGCUUCAUGAGCACAGCUGAGCAGGUGCGGCUGCCGGAUGACUGCACAGUUGGCUACAUCGUGGAGGGGCUCCUGGGCGCCCGCCUGCUGCACAGCCCCCUCUUCCACUCUCACCUGGAGAACCUGCAGAGGCUGCCGCCCGACACCCUGCUCCAGCAGGUUACCUUGAGCCAUGGGGGUCCUGAGAACCCACAUAACGUGGUGAACGUGGCUGGAGGCUUCAGCCUGCAUCAAGACCCCACACGGUUUAAGUCUAUCCAUUGUCUUCUGUACCCAGACACGGACUGGUGUCCCAGGCAGAAACAGGGCGCCCCGACCUCUCGGUGACACCAACCACCCCGACCCAGGGCUGCCUGGCUCUGUCCCAGGCGCGGGGAACCAGAGCCCCCUAUGGGCUCAGUGGGCUCCCUCAGGUGCCACGGCCACACCAGUGAGAUGCAGGCACCUGGCAGACCCUCUGGCUAGCCUGCAGCCCCCCCUCUCCCAGCCCCUGGUGGGCUGCGGUGAUGGGUGUUUUGGGAGAACGAAGACAGCCAGGCUGAUGGCCAGGGCCGCAGUGCCCCUCCCCCCGACCCAGCCCCAAGGUUGAUCCCACGGGAACAGGCUUCCACCCCAGCACUUGCGCACCUGGGAGGGAGCUGCCAUCCGGGCUCCAUUACCUGUUGCUGAAGGCGGGUGCUAGGCUGGCUGGGUGUCAAGGAGCAGGCUCCAGGCCAAGGUCCUGGCCCAGCCACGGCCAUUGCAAGGGCUCAGCCUGGCAGGCUUUGUGGGGGACGCCGCCCUCUCUGCCGCAGGCUGGGUGCACGGCCGGGCACCACAGUGGGACUCAGGCCCGGGAAGGUCAUGUUCUCGACCAGAGCUUUGCUCCCAGUCCAGGCGCCUCAUUCGGAGGCCUCUUGACUGGGACCACAGAGAUGUUUUCUCCGCUCUGACUUGUGGCUCAGGACUACUUUCUGGGUCGUGCUCCUGCCCCACUGUGCCUGGGCCCAUAAACAACAGGAGCCUUUUGUUCCGCUGACCUGCCCAUCCCAGCAGACCCACCUCCCCGCCUGGUGCCUUCCAUGGAGGGAAAUGGGACAGGGGCCGUCAUCUCCCCUCUGCCUCCUGCUUUGCUGUUGCCGAGCACGAGUAAAGCUUUUGUUCUUACUUCA